CCUACGGGUGGCAGCAGUGGGGAAUAUUGGACAAUGGGGGGAACCCUGAUCCAGCCAUGCCGCGUGUGUGAAGAAGGCCCUCGGGUUGUAAAGCACUUUCAGUGAGGAAGAACGCCUGGUGGUUAAUACCCAUCAGGAAAGACAUCACUCACAGAAGAAGCACCGGCUAACUCCGUGCCAGCAGCCGCGGUAAUACGGAGGGUGCGAGCGUUAAUCGGAAUUACUGGGCGUAAAGCGCGCGUAGGUGGCUUGAUAAGCCGGUUGUGAAAGCCCCGGGCUCAACCUGGGAACGGCAUCCGGAACUGUCAAGCUAGAGUGCAGGAGAGGAAGGUAGAAUUCCCGGUGUAGCGGUGAAAUGCGUAGAGAUCGGGAGGAAUAACAGUGGCGAAGGCGGCCUUCUGGACUGACACUGACACUGAGGUGCGAAAGCGUGGGUAGCAAACAGGAUUAGAUACCCUGGUAGUC
RNAcentral lists this ribosomal RNA (465 nucleotides) under Vreelandella stevensii. Its description in RNAcentral is "partial 16S ribosomal RNA". It matches the Rfam family "Bacterial small subunit ribosomal RNA", at positions 338 to 795 of the family's 1533-position model. The record is from RNAcentral. Lineage: Bacteria; Pseudomonadati; Pseudomonadota; Gammaproteobacteria; Oceanospirillales; Halomonadaceae.